This 86-nucleotide transfer RNA is filed under the name Spirochaetes bacterium GWF1_41_5. Its description in RNAcentral is "tRNA-Ser". It matches the Rfam family "tRNA". Rfam says of the family: Transfer RNA (tRNA) molecules are approximately 80 nucleotides in length. Their secondary structure includes four short double-helical elements and three loops (D, anti-codon, and T loops). Lineage: Bacteria; Pseudomonadati; Spirochaetota. RNAcentral also lists the same sequence under 1 other name. The record is from RNAcentral.
GGAGAGAUGUCCGAGCCCGGUUUAAGGAGCACGAUUGGAGUUCGUGUGUGCCAAAAGCACCGUGGGUUCAAAUCCCACUCUCUCCG